Spinacia oleracea (spinach) is the source of this 1321-nucleotide long non-coding RNA. RefSeq lists it as uncharacterized. The record is from RefSeq and is a predicted model, not a curated record. The transcript has 6 exons. NCBI's taxonomy places the organism in Eukaryota, Viridiplantae, Streptophyta, Magnoliopsida, Caryophyllales, Amaranthaceae.
AGUGCCGCUUUUGACGUUCUUUAAACAUUAAUGAAUGAAAAUCGCUCCUCUACAAUCUUCAUCAACCAACCUCUACCCCCUGCCAAUUAACCAUCGUCGAUCUCUCACCAUCUUCAAUUUUCUACCAUGAAUCCGCAAAGCGCUCUUGUCAUUGAACUCGUGGGAGCAGUAUUGUGUAAUUUCAGCUCGAGAUAUGGUUUUUGGAUAUCAGGGAUAAGUUCUAAUAGCUUGGGAUGUCAGGGAUAAGUUAUAAUUGUUUGGGAUAUCAGAGGUUUCUCACAGGUCAACUUUUGCAAAAACAUCACCAACACAAAACCAGUGAUCAAUGCAGCAACUCACUUGAACAAUCCUUGUGGCAGACUGAGUUCUAUCACCAACAGAACACCAACCACAUAACUAACUGCAACAUAAAACAAGCACUAAACAAGAAGAAUACUUCUGUGCUUGGCAAAGAAGUUGCUAUUAGGACGUGAAACACAAUGGUAAAUCAUGCUAAUGAAUGCCAUCUGGACUAUACAUACUAUAGUUACUGUAAUGAAGUGGAGAGUGCUCAUCUCCUGUUCUACUGUGUCUACAAAGUCGUAGCUGUGAAGUUUAAAUGUCAAGAUUAUUAGCCUGCCGAUGCUGUUGAUAUUUGCCAAUAGCUCUGGUGGAGAAGCUGAAGCAGUUUGUAUUCUUGAUUGUGAAGAGGCCAACUGGUUCCAGUUAACAAUCCGUAAGCUAUAUCUACUUCAAUGCAACCAACCUUUAAACAACAAGUCCACUAUUCUAGUCUGAAGCUGGAAUUACAGCAUAACGCUCUUUCGAUUAUAGAUCAAGGGAUCAUAUGAAUAUUGCAAAAACUGUCAAGUGAAGAACUGCUAUUGGUUAGAAGAACUGUUAUUCCAGAAAAUCUGGCAGUCCAUGCUUCCCGAUUGACAAAAAGGCUCCGGUAUAACUGUCUUAAGAAAGUGAUGGAGAUAUGAAUGCAUUUCUUCAUGUUAAUCUUGUUCUGAUGCAACUAUGUAGAGGAUUCUUGAUGAAAUAUCUCGUAAAUCUUAGACAAUGCAGAUGCAGCAUCUCGACUUGACAGUAUCAGUCUCCUUAGAUUGUUGCCAUGAAGAUUUCCCAGACUGCUUUGGAGGAGAUAAUAGGGAAGAACAGUGAAAAACCAUCCAUUUCUCCUAGAAAUAGUUUUUCUGUUAUUGUUAUCACAUGACUGUCAGAUUGUUUUUGAAUUCACAACUCUUCAUGGUUGAUUUAUUUACAUGUCUUAUUGGUUGUUAACAUUUUUUAUAAUAUUUUUUUCGAAUUAAUGAAAGAUUUGGAUUAUUUUGGUAUU